GAAGGGGGCUAGCGUUGUUCGGAAUUACUGGGCGUAAAGCGCGCGCAGGCGGUUUUUCAAGUCAGUGGUGAAAGCCCGGAGCUCAACUCCGGAACUGCCAUUGAAACUGUAAAACUUGAGGAUGAGAGAGGUGAGUGGAAUUCCCAGUGUAGAGGUGAAAUUCGUAGAUAUUGGGAAGAACACCGGUGGCGAAGGCGGCUCACUGGCUCAUAUCUGACGCUCAGGCGCGACAGCGUGGGGAUCAAACAGGAUUAGAUACCCUGGUAGUCCACGCCGUAAACGAUGAAUGCUAGCCGUUGGGCAGCUUGCUGUUCAGUGGCGCAGCUAACGCAUUAAGCAUUCCGCCUGGGGAGUACGGCCGCAAGGUUGAA
RNAcentral lists this ribosomal RNA (371 nucleotides) under uncultured bacterium. RNAcentral's name for it is "bacterial SSU rRNA". It matches the Rfam family "Bacterial small subunit ribosomal RNA", at positions 527 to 898 of the family's 1533-position model. The record is from RNAcentral.